CAAAUGGAGUAUUUUAUUCACAUGUUAGUUAUCAUUUUAACACACACACAAACACUGACACACUCUGGUUUGCGUGGAACAAGGGUGGUCUAAAUAUCCUAAAAGAAAAUGAAAAAUUAAAGUACAUUAAUUUUUCAUUACUGUAGGCAAUUACGUCCACAUCACUUACAAAGCUAUUACUGAUAUUGUCCAAGGAAGCAGAGUGGUACAGAGGAAGGAAACUUGAGGGUAAAUUCAUCAGUGACAUAACAGAUCUCAACAUGAGAAAGCUGACAAAACAUGAAUUUUUGCUGUGAAAUUUCUCUUUGCAAAAUAUGAAGAAAAGUCAAUCAAUGGGCAGUAAAUAAGAGUAGGUGGUGAACUUUUGCUGUCAAUUCUCCUCACAGUAUCUUGCAGAGGCAUCAAGAAAAUUGCUUAGUCCUUCUCUGGGACCAAUUUCAGAACUUUUCCAAUUGCAAUGGUCUUACCCUCAUCUCUUAAAGUAAAACGACCCAUCUGAGGAAAAUCUUUGAACGUCUCGAGGCAGAUGGUUCCUGCUGUCCUUAAACGAGCAAUGCAUACUUGAUCUUGUUUCACGAAGCGGGGUCGUGUCUUACUUUUUUCUCCUGAUUUUUUGUCUACCAAGGAGAUUAACGCUGUUAUCUCAACUUCCUCAAUACAAGUAUGAAUGUGCAGCACCGCAUUAUAACCUGGGCAGAUGAUGGAUUUGUGCUCAAUAAUCACUAUCUGAACAUCAAACGUGCGUCCAGAAUGGCAGAGGUUACUAGGAUCACAAAGUAUGAAUCCUGGAAGAAUCUCUUCUUCUUCAAUUCCCUUCAGUCUGAUUUUGAGGUUUUCACCUGGGGCUACAAAAUCAGUUUCAGUAUCAUCAGAAAGUAUUCCAAGAACUUCUACAUUGUGCUUGUUUGGCAUCAUCACGAGCUGCUGGCCUUUAAAAAUGGACCCGGAUUCCAGCUUUCCCAGGACCACAGUGCCCAUAUCUUUGUACUUAUCCACAAUUGGCAGUCUUAUUGGUCCAUCAAUUGAUCUGUUGAAGUUUGGCAAGUUAUCCAAAUACGGAAUAAAUGGUAAUCCAGUGUACCAAGGGCAGAAAUCUGACUGCUCUUUAAUAUUUGCUCCGGUCAGUCCUGAGCAGGGCAUAAAGUGAAUGUCCUUUUUUGGACUGAAGCCUACUUUUUUCAAAAAGGGCACCAGUUUUUCUUUACAUUCUUCAUAUCUCUCGAUGCUCCAAUUUACUGUGGGAUCAUCCAUCUUAUUAAUAAGCACUAUUAAAUGUUUUACCCCUGCCGUUUUUGCCAACAUCGCAUGUUCUCUUGUCUGUCCACCUUUUUCAAAUCCAGUUUCAAACUCUCCUUUCCUGGCAGAGAUGACCAGCACAGCCAAAUCAGCUUGAGAAGCACCACCAAUCAUAUUUGGGACAAAACUCUUGUGGCCAGGGGCAUCUAAAAUUGUGAAAUGUUUCCUUUCUGUUUCAAAAUAGGCACGACCCACUUCGACUGUUUUACCCUUGUCUCGUUCCUCCUGAUUUGUAUCUAAGGCCCAGGACAAAUACCAGGUUUCUCUGUUUUUUUCCUUAGCUUCUCUUUCAUAUUUCUCCAGUGUUCUUUUGUUAGGUGCACCUGAGGGUACGAUCACAGAUUUGGAUUUUCUUAUUUCCUCUUUUUCCUCCAUCAUUUCCUGGCCACUUUCUUCUGGGGGCCCUGAAUCUCCCGAGGAACCACCCCCAGGCUCGGCUUCACUUACUUCUUUACUGUGCUCCCAUGAUUCUUCUAGGGCCAUUUCCACCUCUCCAUUUUCUACAACAGGUUCUGAAAGUUCCAUGGUAACGGCUGAAUUGGAACCUUCAAGCGACACUAACGGUUCCUCUCGGGAAGGUUCCACAGGUGCCCCCCGUCCCAUCCUUUUACCUUGAGGGUAUCCCGCGCCGGUGCAGGUUUCAUCGUUGCUGCCGGAGCCGGCCGGGAGGGUGGGCGGCUGAGUCGGGCCCCGCAGGAAGGACGGCACGAACUCCGCGGCGUGUACGUUAGGCACGAAGGGCUUGGCGUUGACGUUGAGCUUACGGCUGAAAGCCGAGCUGAGGGGCUCGCGCUGGGCCUCGGCCACCGCAGAGGAGACUCCAUCCCCGCUCGGGGCCGACCCCGGGGAUUCCAUGUCCACCUGGUCCCAGCAAUCGGGCGCCGAGUCGCUGCUGCUGCUGCCCGAAUCCAUGGUCUCGGAACUUGCUGUGUGGCAGUGAGGGAGCGGGCUCAACAGGCCAGAAGAGCGGGCUCCGCCGGCGGGGUUAAGGCAGCAAGAGCGAAGGGCCAAGGGGUAGCGACACGAACCUUAGCUGCACCGCGGAGGCAGCUAAGCGCCGAUGCUGCAUUCGCAACUGCGGCGGCAGCAGCAGAUAUGGCGGCUCAACACUCUCCUCUU
RNAcentral lists this long non-coding RNA (2415 nucleotides) under Homo sapiens (human). RNAcentral's name for it is "non-protein coding lnc-CENPVL2-3:1". Lineage: Eukaryota; Metazoa; Chordata; Mammalia; Primates; Hominidae. The record is from RNAcentral.